UUUAAACGGCCGCGGUAUUCUAACCGUGCAAAGGUAGCGUAAUCACUUGUCUUCUAAAUAAAGACCAGUAUGAAUGGCUAAAUGAGGACAAACCUGUCUCCUGUGACCAAUCAGUGAAACUGAUCUUCCGGUACAAAAGCCGGAAUAACCCCAUAAGACGAGAAGACCCUGUGGAGCUUAAAAUUAUAACUACCUAAAACUAGCACUAAUUUUAAGUUGGGGCGACUUCGGAACCAAAUAAAACUUCCGAGCAAAGAACCAGCAAUUCCAACAAGGCCUACAUGCCAUGAGCCGACCCAGUCACACUGAUCAACGAACCAAGUUACCCCAGGGAUAACAGCGCAAUCCCCCCCAAGAGUCCAUAUCGACGGGGGGGUUUACGACCUCGAUGUUGGAUCAGGACAUCCCAAUGGUGCAACCGCUAUUAAAGGUUCGUUUGUUCAACGAUUAAUAGUCCUACGUGAUCUG
This 468-nucleotide ribosomal RNA is filed under the name Ablepharus nepalensis. RNAcentral describes it as "partial large subunit ribosomal RNA". It matches the Rfam family "Bacterial large subunit ribosomal RNA", at positions 1922 to 2607 of the family's 2925-position model. The record is from RNAcentral. Lineage: Eukaryota; Metazoa; Chordata; Lepidosauria; Squamata; Scincidae.